GAUGAACGCUGGCGGCGUGCCUAAUACAUGCAAGUCGAGCGAACAGACGAGGAGCUUGCUCCUCUGACGUUAGCGGCGGACGGGUGAGUAACACGUGGAUAACCUACCUAUAAGACUGGGAUAACUUCGGGAAACCGGAGCUAAUACCGGAUAAUAUAUUGAACCGCAUGGUUCAAUAGUGAAAGACGGUUUUGCUGUCACUUAUAGAUGGAUCCGCGCCGCAUUAGCUAGUUGGUAAGGUAACGGCUUACCAAGGCGACGAUGCGUAGCCGACCUGAGAGGGUGAUCGGCCACACUGGAACUGAGACACGGUCCAGACUCCUACGGGAGGCAGCAGUAGGGAACCUUCCGCAAUGGGCGAAAGCCUGACGGAGCAACGCCGCGUGAGUGAUGAAGGUCUUCGGAUCGUAAAACUCUGUUAUUAGGGAAGAACAAAUGUGUAAGUAACUAUGCACGUCUUGACGGUACCUAAUCAGAAAGCCACGGCUAACUACGUG
RNAcentral lists this ribosomal RNA (497 nucleotides) under uncultured bacterium. Its description in RNAcentral is "partial 16S ribosomal RNA". It matches the Rfam family "Bacterial small subunit ribosomal RNA", at positions 28 to 507 of the family's 1533-position model. The record is from RNAcentral.